This is an RNA transcript of Zea mays, 386 nucleotides long. It is a transcript of the gene named 14-3-3 superfamily protein pseudogene, with no coding region annotated. The transcript is spliced from 2 exons. The record is from RefSeq and is a predicted model, not a curated record. NCBI's taxonomy places the organism in Eukaryota, Viridiplantae, Streptophyta, Magnoliopsida, Poales, Poaceae.
CAGGUACCUUCCUGAGUUCAAGUCUGGUGCAGAGAGGAAGGAUGCUGCGGAGAGCACCAUGAAUGCCUACAAAGCUGCUCAGGACAUUGCUCUUGCAGAUCUGGCUCCAACCCACCCCAUCAGGCUUGGCCUUGCUCUCAACUUCUCAGUGUUCUACUACAAGAUCCUGAACUCCCCUGAUCGUGCCUGCAACCUUGCAAAACAGGUUUGCUUCUUCUCCUUCUAUCCCCCCUUUGUGAUUUGCUUUCAUUUUGAGACCCUUUGUGAUUUGUUUUAAUUUUGAGACAUGAUGUCUCCUAGAUUGUGUGUAGCUUCUGGGCAACGGAUUGAGUGUGCAUAAACAGCUCCUGUCUCCAUCAGCUUAUGUAGGGGUUUGGUUGAUUCAA